GGCCGAUAGCCGAGGCCGUUCAAUGACACAACGACGAGGUCUGGCCUUCCCCAUUCCUCUUUUCAUGUUGUGGCAUUAUCGAACUCAUGUAAUGACUGAUUUUGUACUACUGUUGGUUGCAUUGGUGAUGGUUUUACAAGUGUGGAAACAAAGCUAGUGUCCUAUUUUGCUUGUAUAUUAAGAGUUCGCCUAUGAGUCUCCUAUAUGUACUGGUGAUGCUACUUCAUCUCUACUUGUUGUGAAAUAAGUUUUUUUUUGAUUUGCUUACAAGAAAUGAAAUAUCCUUCUUGGCGUUUCUUUGUUGCCAAAUAAAGCUAUUGUUUGAUUGACACCACCUUCUUGCAUCAAGUGACACCAAACAUGUUUAAUUGAAUGUUCACAAGAAAUGAUCACACACCAAGGUGACACCCUCAAUUUGAAACUAAUUUUAGAUCAGUGCAAUUCUUAUUUUUAUUCAGUACUCUUUGUGCGAAUGAUUCCUGGUUGCUUCUCCUGUUCUGAACUUGUUGCUCAAUUGCAUAGGUAUUGCCAGAGUACUAUCUAGUCUGAAGCUAGCUACACAUUCGCACAUGAGUCGGUGCUCCUGAAGUGCUCUAAUUAGCAAUAGAAAAUGACAAGGGAGUGCAUCCAAAAGAUAGGUGGCAAGCAUGCCUGCUACGGUGUGUUGAUAACUGAAUUGAAGGAUCUUCAGUAUAUGAACCACAAAAAGAGAGGUGAAUCCCGUACAAACAAAGAAGUGCAUGCAGUACAUCAGCUCAAGAUCCAAUGGUUCAAUUAUCUUUUGGUUUGGCAAAAUGCUUCUCUUGCAUGUUUUUUGUUUUGCUGUAAUUUUCAUCUAUAUCAUAGGA
Molecule: long non-coding RNA, 848 nt
Filed under: Triticum aestivum (bread wheat)
Lineage: Eukaryota; Viridiplantae; Streptophyta; Magnoliopsida; Poales; Poaceae
Description: long non-coding RNA (TAES_LNC022465)
Source: RNAcentral